AUUACUCCUACGGGAGGCAGCAGUGGGGAAUUUUGGACAAUGGGGGCAACCCUGAUCCAGCCAUGCCGCGUGAGUGAAGAAGGCCUUCGGGUUGUAAAGCUCUUUCAGCCGGAAAGAAAGCGCAUGGGUGAAUAACCUGUGUGGAUGACGGUACCGGAAGAAGAAGCACGGGCUAACUACGUGCCAGCGCCGCGGUAAUAAU
RNAcentral lists this ribosomal RNA (202 nucleotides) under uncultured bacterium. RNAcentral describes it as "partial 16S ribosomal RNA". It matches the Rfam family "Bacterial small subunit ribosomal RNA", at positions 332 to 526 of the family's 1533-position model. The record is from RNAcentral.